Non-coding RNA from Mobula hypostoma (lesser devil ray), 399 nucleotides. The record is from the annotation of a RefSeq genome assembly. NCBI's taxonomy places the organism in Eukaryota, Metazoa, Chordata, Chondrichthyes, Myliobatiformes, Myliobatidae.
AUGGGGGUCAUUCCUUAUCUCUGUCUCCUCCUGUCUUGUCUGGCAGGCGUGCGGUCCGACAUCGUGCUGACACAGCCCGAGUCAGCGGUGGUAAAGCCCGGAGACUCCCACAGACUGACCUGUGCGGUCAGUGGGUUCGAUAUCAACAACUACUACAUGAGCUGGGUGAAACAGGUCCCGGGAAAGGGCUGGGGUGGUUGGCAACGCAUAGAAUAGAAUGUUACAAGUAUUACGCGCCUGGAGUUCAGAGCCGAUUCACCGCUUCCAAGGAGAGCAGCAACUUUUAUCUGCAAAUGAACAACCUGCGAGUGUGUGAGAGAAGCGGAGGUUAUCGUACGGCGGUGUAUCACUGUGACUGUACUAUGUGAUGGCACAGUGUGACAGAUGGCGGAUCCCUCC